AUUGAACGCUGGCGGCAUGCUUUACACAUGCAAGUCGAACGGUAACAGGCCUUCGGGUGCUGACGGGUGGCGAACGGGUGAGUAAUGCAUCGGAACGUACCCAGAGGCGGGGGAUAACGCAGCGAAAGCUGUGCUAAUACCGCCUGUGAUCUGAGGUUGAAAGCGGGGGACCGCGCAGCAAUGUUUGGCUUCGCGCCUUUGUAGCGGCCGAUCUCGGCUUCGCUAGUUGGUGGGGUAAAGGCCUACCAAGGCCACGAUCCGUAGCUGGUCUGACAGGACGAACCGGCAGACUGGGAGUGAGAAACGGCCCCGACACCGAGGGGGAGCAGCGGUGGGGAAUUUUGGGGGAUGGGCGAAAGCCUGAUCCAGCAAUGCCGGGUGAGGGAAGAAGGACUUCGGGUGGUAAAACGCUGUUGGCAGGAAGGUAACGGUGACCUCUCAUCCCGGGCGCUAAUGACGGUACCUGCAGAAGAAGCACCGGCUAACUACGUG
Molecule: ribosomal RNA, 492 nt
Filed under: uncultured bacterium
Lineage: Bacteria
Description: partial 16S ribosomal RNA
Rfam family: Bacterial small subunit ribosomal RNA
Source: RNAcentral